AUGAAGCUGACCUGGGCGGGGAGGGUUGUCCCUGAGGACAGAGGGGCUGACCCUUACCACGGCCUCUUCCACUCCUGUUUUAUUCUGAACCCAACCCCAGCCAGAGAGGACGCGGGAAUGAGGGUUUCAAGCCUUCCUGGCCUUGUGCCAGGGUUCCUGGUGUUAUUUUUAGCGAUCUUACAUGAACUGUGUGCCCCCCCCUUAGCCUUUUUUUCUUUUUAUUCUUUCCAGGCAGAGCCAGGCCGAAAGGCAAUGAGCACCGCACGCCCAGCGCGUGCGUGGGGAGGGCGCACGGGGGCGGGGGGUGGGGCGCGUGGCCCGCACUGCACGAGGUCCCCUUUGCGGGCUCCGGCCGCCCGCCAGACAAAGGCCGCAAGUCCCGGGGCCAGGGCGCCAGCCACGCGGGAGCCGAGCCUGCGCGCCCCAAGCCCACCUCCGCCCGGACCCGCGCCCGCCGCAGAGGAGAAUCCCCCGGCUCCCCGCGCCAUCUGGGGCCUCCCGCAGCGCCCCGCUCGCGCCGCAGGAACUGCAGCCGGCCCGGCCCCUCCCGGGCCCAGCAGCCACAGGCCCCGGCGCCCCGCGAACCGCCAGCCUCGCAGAGAGGGCGCCCCCGGCCCCCAGGAGCCAGUGGCCCCCGCCCCACAGCCCCCACCGACCACAAUACGCACCCGGGUCCCGCCGCGGGGGCCGGAUUCGCGCUGGGCCCAGGAGCCGCCGCUGCCGCCGCCGCCGCCGCCGCUGCCAGUGAGGCGGGGCGGGGCGGAGACGCGCGGCGAGGCCCGGCCCCCGGACCGCCCCCGAACCCCCGGGCCGCGCCUCCCGACCGCCGGACCGCACCCCCAGUCCCCGGGCGGCCCCCCCAAGCCCCCAGUCAGCAGCCUCCAGUCCCCCGGCCAGUCCCCUGAGUCCCCGGGCAAUACCCCCAACCCUGAUCUGCCCCCUGGACUUCUGGACCACGCCCCCAGACCGCCCCCAACCCGGACCGUCCCCGGAACCCUCGGGCCGCGCCUCCUGACAACGGGACCGCACCCUCAGUCUCCCAGACCGCGCCCCCUGGACCGUCGUGAACCCAGACCGCAUUCCCAGUCCAGUCCCCGGAGGCACCCCUAG
Molecule: long non-coding RNA, 1110 nt
Filed under: Oryctolagus cuniculus (rabbit)
Lineage: Eukaryota; Metazoa; Chordata; Mammalia; Lagomorpha; Leporidae
Description: lncRNA (ENSOCUG00000034409.1)
Source: RNAcentral